Molecule: ribosomal RNA, 253 nt
Filed under: uncultured bacterium
Lineage: Bacteria
Description: partial 16S ribosomal RNA
Rfam family: Bacterial small subunit ribosomal RNA
Source: RNAcentral
UACGGGGGGAGCAAGCGUUGUUCGGAUUUACUGGGCGUAAAGGGCGCGUAGGCGGCGCAACAAGUCACUUGUGAAAUCUCCGGGCUUAACUCGGAAAGGUCAAGUGAUACUGUCGGGCUAGAGUACAGAAGGGGCAACUGGAAUUCUCGGUGUAGCGGUGAAAUGCGUAGAUAUCGAGAGGGACGCCUGCGGCGAAGGCGGGUUGCUGGGCCGACACUGACGCUGAUGCGCGAAAGCCAGGGGAGCGAACGGG